This is a long non-coding RNA of Dama dama (fallow deer), 403 nucleotides long. RefSeq lists it as uncharacterized. NCBI's taxonomy places the organism in Eukaryota, Metazoa, Chordata, Mammalia, Artiodactyla, Cervidae. The record is from RefSeq and is a predicted model, not a curated record. The transcript has 3 exons.
GCAGUUGCCGCCGCUGCCACUGUCGCGCCGCCGCCACCGCCGUCGCUGUCGCCGUCAGUGCCCUUCUGAAGAGUGACAGCGCCGUAAAAGCGGGAGGGAGCACCGAACCCCGCGCCUUUAUGAAACAGGUGCAUGCGCCGGUCUCCUGGUGAGUGGACCCAGCUCGCAAGGUAGCCAUUCAUGAGUCUGAGGCUUUGAGAAAUGCUCACUGUGAAAAGGGGAACUUUCGCCAGAUUUUCUGAAGCUGUCCUAGAAAUACACUUUUCAGAUUGAUUCAGCAUUACCAGCUUAUCCAACAAAAGUAUUAACAUAUACGUUAACAACGUCGAAAGUAGCCUACUUUAAGAGAAAAUAUGCAGAAGAAGAAGAUUUACAUCAAGAUUACCAUGGGUAUUUUCCAAAA